This 254-nucleotide ribosomal RNA is filed under the name uncultured Singulisphaera sp. RNAcentral's name for it is "partial 16S ribosomal RNA". It matches the Rfam family "Bacterial small subunit ribosomal RNA", at positions 524 to 776 of the family's 1533-position model. The record is from RNAcentral. Lineage: Bacteria; Pseudomonadati; Planctomycetota; Planctomycetia; Isosphaerales; Isosphaeraceae.
GACGAACCGUGCGAACGUUAUUCGGAAUCAUUGGGCUUAAAGGGCGCGUAGGCGGGCCGGCGCGUCGGAGUUGAAAGCCCCCGGCUCAACCGGGGGAUAGGCUCCGAGACGGCCAGGCCUCGAGGCGAGGAGGGGGACCUGGAACGUCCGGUGGAGCGGUGAAAUGCGUUGAGAUCGGACGGAACGCCGACGGCGAAAGCAAGGUCCUAGACUCGUUCUGACGCUGAGGCGCGAAAGCCAGGGGAGCGAACGGG